RNAcentral lists this ribosomal RNA (468 nucleotides) under uncultured bacterium. RNAcentral's name for it is "partial 16S ribosomal RNA". It matches the Rfam family "Bacterial small subunit ribosomal RNA", at positions 28 to 523 of the family's 1533-position model. The record is from RNAcentral.
GAUGAACGCUGGCGGCGUGCCUAACACAUGCAAGUCGAGCGAUUUACUUCGGUAAAGAGCGGCGGACGGGUGAGUAACGCGUGGGUAACCUGCCCUGUACACACGGAUAACAUACCGAAAGGUAUGCUAAUACGAGAUAAUAUGCUUUUAUCGCAUGGUAGAAGCAUCAAAGCUUUUGCGGUACAGGAUGGACCCGCGUCUGAUUAGCUAGUUGGUAAGGUAACGGCUUACCAAGGCGACGAUCAGUAGCCGACCUGAGAGGGUGAUCGGCCACAUUGGAACUGAGACACGGUCCAAACUCCUACGGGAGGCAGCAGUGGGGAAUAUUGCACAAUGGGCGAAAGCCUGAUGCAGCAACGCCGCGUGAGCGAUGAAGGCCUUCGGGUCGUAAAGCUCUGUCCUCAAGGAAGGUAAUGACGGUACUUGAGGAGGAAGCCCCGGCUAACUACGUGCCAGCCGCCGCCGUAA